This is a non-coding RNA of Plutella xylostella (diamondback moth), 1065 nucleotides long. NCBI's taxonomy places the organism in Eukaryota, Metazoa, Arthropoda, Insecta, Lepidoptera, Plutellidae. The record is from RefSeq and is a predicted model, not a curated record.
CGGCUAGUAUGGCCAUAAUAAGACAACAUGUGAAGUGACUGAUUAAAUUGAGUCACUUUUUGAUAUCAGUCUUAAAUGUUAGCAUAGGGUGUACAUGGGACUCAUUUUAUUUGUGUGAUUCGGCAUUAGUCCCAGUGACACUGUAACUUUUCUGCUCUGUGCAAAUAAGUUUUUCAAAUGUUAUUUUUUUCCGAAAACCUCUCAUUUGUGGUUGUUGUUUGUAUUGUCUAUGGUUUUUUGACAAUUAAAAUGUCACCAAACGUCAAACUUGAAGAAAAUUUUGACUGUUUGGUGCUUUCGAGAGUUUCGAGUGUAUUAUUUUGGUAAUAUUACUUUGCUUUGCGCUACCCCAUGGAUUCAUAUUGGCUCAUUAAACUACUUUAUUGAGUUUCUUGGACAUCGUCUCAUCAAAUGACAUACGACCAAGCUUGCUCCCGACCAAGCACGCUCAGAUUCCUUGGGAGCUCCUGCUAUCGGCAGCCGUCGAUGCAUCGGAUCCCUGAGACGAAGAACAAAAACAGCAUGCCACCUGACUGAUGACCCACCCACUGUCUACCCGGACCCAGGAGCUAGAAGGCCUUGAGAAAAAAGCCCGGGCAGGAUCCUGACGGGCGCAGAAUAUCAUCUUCGAUGCUUGUCCCACGGCCUGACUGAAUAAUAUUUAUAUAAUCAAUGGAAGGAAAAAAACAGUAGAACAUUGAAAUUGGCUUGUAGGCAAGACGGAAGAUGGUCAAAGCCGGUCAGAAAUUGAUGCCCUAGACACGGUUGGAGAGCUCUUGUUGGCAGAAACCACCUGAAUGGUGAAUGGUGGUGCUGAAUGAUGGUCAGAUGACAUUAGCAACCUUGUGGUGAAACAAUGAACUGGAGCGGCACCGAACUGAAAAAGUUGAAAAACUUGGCAUACAUACUAUGAGACCCAUUUGAUGACUGAUAUAAGCAAAUUUCAGACUGAUUAUUGUGAUAGUUGAUAACUAAGAAUACCUAAUAUGCUUUUAUGGUGUGUGAAAUAGUAUACUUUUUAUAAUUUAUUAAUUAAAAGUUUAAUAAAUGUUUUACUUACCUAAA